Molecule: ribosomal RNA, 256 nt
Filed under: uncultured bacterium
Lineage: Bacteria
Description: partial 16S ribosomal RNA
Rfam family: Bacterial small subunit ribosomal RNA
Source: RNAcentral
GAUCCUGGCUCAGGAUGAACGCCUAGCGACAGGCUUAACACAUGCAAGUCGAGGGGCAGCACGGUGUAGCAAUACACUGGUGGCGACCGGCGCACGGGUGAGUAACACGUGUGCAACCAACCCCGUACCGGGAGAUAACCCGCGGAAACGUGGACUAACAUCCCAUAACACUCUAGAGCCGCAUGGUUCUGGAUUUAAAAUUCUGGUGGUACGGGACGGGCACGCGCGACAUUAGGUAGUUGGCGGGUACGGACCG